CUACGUGCCAGCAGCCGCGGUAAUACGUAGGUGGCAAGCGUUGUCCGGAAUUAUUGGGCGUAAAGCGCGCGCAGGCGGAUUGGUCAGUCUGUCUUAAAAGUUCGGGGCUUAACCCCGUGAUGGGAUGGAAACUGCCAAUCUAGAGUAUCGGAGAGGAAAGUGGAAUUCCUAGUGUAGCGGUGAAAUGCGUAGAUAUUAGGAAGAACACCAGUGGCGAAGGCGACUUUCUGGACGAAAACUGACGCUGAGGCGCGAAAGCCAGGGGAGCGAACGGGAUUAGAUACCCCGGUAGUCCUGGCCGUAAACGAUGAGCACUAGGUGUCGGGGUCGCAAGACUUCGGUGCCGCAGUUAACGCAUUAAGUGCUCCGCCUGGGGAGUACGCACGCAAGUGUAAAACUCAAAGGAAUUGACGGGGACCCGCACAAGCAGCGGAGCAUGUGGUUUAAUUCGAAGCAACGCGAAGAACCUUACCAGGACUUGACA
RNAcentral lists this ribosomal RNA (484 nucleotides) under uncultured bacterium. RNAcentral describes it as "bacterial SSU rRNA". It matches the Rfam family "Bacterial small subunit ribosomal RNA", at positions 501 to 986 of the family's 1533-position model. The record is from RNAcentral.